UACAGAGGGGGCAAGCGUUGUCCGGAAUCAUUGGGCGUAAAGAGCGUGUAGGCGGCCAGAAAAGUCCGCUGUGAAAACUCGAGGCUCAACUUCGAGCUGUCGGUGGAAACUUUCUGGCUAGAGUCCGGAAGAGGAGAAUGGAAUUCCUGGUGUAGCGGUGAAAUGCGCAGAUAUCAGGAAGAACACCCGUGGCGAAGGCGGUUCUCUGGGACGGUACUGACGCUGAGACGCGAAAGCGUGGGGAGCGAACAGG
Molecule: ribosomal RNA, 253 nt
Filed under: uncultured bacterium
Lineage: Bacteria
Description: partial 16S ribosomal RNA
Rfam family: Bacterial small subunit ribosomal RNA
Source: RNAcentral